GACGAACGCUGGCGGCGUGCUUAACACAUGCAAGUCGAGCGAUGAAGUUUCUUCGGAAAUGGAUUAGCGGCGAACGGGUGAGGAACACGUGAAGAAUCUGCCCUCCACUUUGGGAUAACACCGGGAAACCGGUGCUAAUACUGAAUAUUGAAACAUAAGUGGCAUCACUGAGUUUUGAAAGAAUUUCGGUGUGAGGAUGACUUCGCGGCCUAUCAGCUAGUUGGUGAGGUAAGGGCUAACCAAGGCAACGACGGGUAGCCGGCCUGAGAGGGCGACCGGCCACACUGGGACUGAGACACGGCCCAGACUCCUACGGGAGGCAGCAGUGGGGAAUAUUGGGCAAUGGAGGAAACUCUGACCCAGCGACGCCGCGUGCGGGAUGAAGGCCUUCGGGUUGUAAACCGCUUUCAGUAGGGAAGAAGCGAAAGUGACGGUACCUACAAAAGAAGCACCGGCUAACUAUGUGCCAGCCGCCGCCGUAA
This 482-nucleotide ribosomal RNA is filed under the name uncultured bacterium. Its description in RNAcentral is "partial 16S ribosomal RNA". It matches the Rfam family "Bacterial small subunit ribosomal RNA", at positions 28 to 523 of the family's 1533-position model. The record is from RNAcentral.